CCUACGGGAGGCAGCAGUAGGGAAUCUUCCGCAAUGGACGAAAGUCUGACGGAGCAACGCCGCGUGAGCGAUGAAGGCCUUCGGGUCGUAAAGCUCUGUUGUCAGGGAAGAACAAGUAUCGGAGUAACUGCCGGUACCUUGACGGUACCUGACCAGAAAGCCACGGCUAACUACGUGCCAGCAGCCGCGGUAAUACGUAGGUGGCAAGCGUUGUCCGGAAUUAUUGGGCGUAAAGCGCGCGCAGGCGGUUCCUUAAGUCUGAUGUGAAAGCCCCCGGCUCACCGGGGAGGGUCAUUGGAAACUGGGGAACUUGAGUGCAGAAGAGGAGAGCGGAAUUCCACGUGUAGCGGUGAAAUGCGUAGAGAUGUGGAGGAACACCAGUGGCGAAGGCGGCUCUCUGGUCUGUAACUGACGCUGAGGCGCGAAAGCGUGGGGAGCGAACAGGAUUAGAUACCCUGGUAGUCCACGCCGUAAACGAUGAGUGCUAAGUGUUAGAGGGUUUCCGCCCUUUAGUGCUGCAGCAAACGCAUUAAGCACUCCGCCUGGGGAGUACGGCCGCAAGGCUGAAACUCAAAGGAAUUGACGGGGGCCCGCACAAGCGGUGGAGCAUGUGGUUUAAUUCGAAGCAACGCGAAGAACCUUAC
Molecule: ribosomal RNA, 644 nt
Filed under: bacterium HZ1-46
Lineage: Bacteria
Description: bacterial SSU rRNA
Rfam family: Bacterial small subunit ribosomal RNA
Source: RNAcentral